AAAACAUCCAAACCAUGUGCAAAAUGAUCAUUUUUCAUACGUAGGCGGAUGUUGCAUUAAAUGCAUAAUGCUUUGUAUUAAUUUUAGUUGACUUAGGAUUGUUGUAAAGUGGUAUUCUUAAUCCUAAAUUAGGAUUAUGCAAAGUAGAUAAUGAAGGAACACAGGGAUUAAGCGUAUUGUACGUGCAUUGAGAAGACAGAUAAAUU
RNAcentral lists this long non-coding RNA (206 nucleotides) under Carica papaya (papaya). Its description in RNAcentral is "long non-coding RNA (CPAP_LNC010775)". Lineage: Eukaryota; Viridiplantae; Streptophyta; Magnoliopsida; Brassicales; Caricaceae. The record is from RNAcentral.